Long non-coding RNA from Solenopsis invicta (red fire ant), 3254 nucleotides. RefSeq lists it as uncharacterized. The transcript is spliced from 8 exons. The record is from RefSeq and is a predicted model, not a curated record. Lineage: Eukaryota; Metazoa; Arthropoda; Insecta; Hymenoptera; Formicidae.
GUGGCGAUAAAAACACUAUUCCAUAGCAAACUAUGGAAGUUGUUUAUCUAUUUACUUAUAUGAUCUGUGGCCGCCGCUUUUCUCUUUAGUGAAAGUUAUUAGUGAGUUUCACGCAGUUUGACGUACGUUUAUUCACGUGCUUUGCACGCUGCAGAGGAUCGGAUCCGGCCGUUUGUUCGUUGAAAUAUAUUGAACCUCUCGAGACUGGCGGCUCUUCAUCAGUUUUCCGCAGUCGAUCUGCAACAAGUUCUGUGCUUGCGACUUUCCUUGCUUAUUAUGAAUGAACCAGCGAUUUUAAGGAUUCCUGACGUGUUGCGCGCCAGUUGCCGGCAAGUUGCUGAAAACUGAGUUUAAAGUCUAUGGCCAAUAGAUUGUUGGAAACUUGCCGUUAUUAUAUUUUGAAAAUUGUUACUGACAAAAACAUACUGAAAAAAGGAUACCUCCUUCUGUUGCUUUGCUGACAACUUAUGAGCAAUAUUUGUGGCAAGUUGCCGACAAUUUGCAAUAAUUUGGUUAUCUGGGUUAUUGGCUUCCAUCUGAUCAAGAUGCUGGAAAUUUUGUGAGAAAGGAAAAACCUGUAAAUAAAUCCUGGCCAAAAUAUUCAAUUGAAGUUUUAAGAUACUAUGAUUUUUAUAUAAAAGCAAAAGCUGGUGUUCAAGGAUUUAUAGCAGAAGGUUCAGCCUAUGAGACUGAAAAAGAAACUGGAAGAGGAAAACGAAAAAGAGUACGAAAUAGACUUUUUGAAGAUUCCUCUUCUAACGAAAAACUUAUAAAACGCAACACGAAGUUAAUUCCAUCACCGCCAGAUAUUUCUUUCAAAAAUAAUAAAAAAGCAGAACACGUGCCCAAUUGUCUUUCAAAAACUUCUAAUCUUUCAAAAGCAUGCUCAAAAAGUAAUAUGGAUAGACUAAAGAGGACAUAAAAUACAAAUAAGAAUACUAACAAUGCUAAGAAAGUACAAAGUCUCUUCUUGAAGGCAUUGAUUCUGAUGAAGAAUAUGUUGUGCACACAAAAAAGUCUAUUUCUGUACCGUCAAAUAUUCUGUUUAAACACAAACAGUUACUACCAAAUUCUGAGGAAGAUGUACAAGAAGCAGAACACGAGAAUAAAUGUCUUUCGACUUCCUUUUUUCCUUUAAAAACAUCUUCAAGCAGCAAUAUUAUUGAGAAACUAAAAAGGACACAGGAGAUUAAUAAUGCUUCUGUUAGUCGCACUAAGUUAAAUACAACUGAAUCCAAUCGCCAAAACAAAAAGUUAUCUUGCAAGGACAUGGUGCAAUCACCCAUUAAGAAGACGUUAGCGGAAACGGAAAGUGUUUUUUCAUCAAACUCUAUUCUUCUCCGCAAUCGAGACCCUUCAGUCCAAUUAAAUCUAGAUUUUAUCAGCGUAUGCUUUCUAUUUCAACAGCAAAUAAUUCUUCAGAAAAAUCUGAUGAUAAAUUUUCUUUAACAAAUUUAAUAAUAAAUAUAUUAUUUUACUUUUAAAUUUAUUUUAAAAUUUAAUAAAUAUCAAAUAAUUGAACAGUAAUUAUUAGUGGCUUAAGAGCCUAGCUCACUUAGCUGGUUUUCAUUGCUAACAAGUGUACAUAAUAUCUUACUUAAUUACAAACUAAUAAAUAUUAGAUUAAACAAUCUUCAAAUGACAAACGUUUUGACCUAUUUAAUUUGGCUUUCUUCAAUAUCAAUUGAUAUAAACAAAGUAAUUGUAAGUGUCGAUAUAGGACCAUUUCUCCGCAAACGUGCUUUUACCGAAUCCAUAACAUAUCCAUAUACUUUAGAAUUCUUUCUCUCAUUGUUCCAUGCUUAUGAUCAGUUAAAGAUCGUUUAAUUAAUUAUUAAUUUGUAAUUGCGAGUAAAAUAAUAUGUACAAUUGUUAGCAAUGGGAAUCAGCUAGGCUCUUGAGCUCCUACUGUUUAAUUGAUUAAUAAGAGCCUGAAUAACAAAUUAUUAUUUAAUAAUAAAUUACAUUUCAAGAAAAUGUAUUAUAUUUAACGGUUUUUUUUUAAUAUUGAAGAAGAUAGGACAGAAAAACUGGAAAAGCUGUGUGAGGGAAUAUGUGUUCGACUAGAAGAAAUUAAUAAGAAGAUAGGUACAAUAAUUUUGAAUCUAGGAAGGCGCAACAGAUCUCUUCCGAAUGAAAAGAGAAAACCAAUAAAUCUUCCAAAUCUGUCAGUUAAAACAGAAGAUGAUUUACAUUUAUUGGAAACAUUUUUAGAAAAUGACAACAAUUAUGCAGCUUUGAUUAUUUUUGUUUUAAUCCUAUUUGAAAAACUUGGUUAUGCGGUGAUAAUGUAACUUUAUUGUUGGACAAUAAUACAAUGAUAGAUCUCUUGGAUAUAUAAAAGAUUCGAGUGGAUACUUAAUUGCACGUGAGAAUGUAAUGUACGGAGCACAGGUAGAGAGAAACGAAGUGACGAUUGAUAGAUCUGAGAUCUCGCACCAAUAAAUCGCCGUUCGAGAUCCAUCGAUUGUCGAUCGAUGACGAGUACUCGCAUCAGUGAUGCGCGCGCAUACACAACAGAGCACGCAUAGUACCCGAAAGUUUUUAAAGCUCUUAAUCCAACAAAAACCAAUGUGUUAAGUUUUUAAACCUUAUCAUAAGUGCUCUUUAUGAGUUAAGUAAAAAUUUUAAAAAUUUAUAGUCAGUUGAAACACGAGAUAUUUUCUUACGUUUCUAUUUUUGUUUGUUUUUUAGUACGAUUAUUUGAGUGCGUUUAUUACAUCUAAAGAUGUAUCAAAAUCCACAGUAAAAAUUGCAAUAAAACUUCUCAAUGGCAGCUACAAUGAGUUUCAAAGGACCAAAUAAGAAAAAAUCGUUGUCUAAAUUGAAAAUCUGGGAGGUUAUAUAAGAUGAAAAUUGCUCAUGAUAUAUUUCUUAAGGCUUUAUACUAUAUGUGUGUGUGUGUGUGUUUGUGUGUGCGUGCGUGUGCGUGUGCGUGUGCGUGUGCGUGUGCGUGUGCGUGUGUGUGUGUGUGUGUGUGUGUGUGUAAUCAUUUAUUUUUUUUUUAAUUUAAGACUAUAUUCUUUUGAGACUAUAAUUCCAUGUGUUUCAGGUUCAUUAUUAAUGAAAUUCGAAGAUUCUGCGCUACAAGAAGCAGAAGAAACGAUUAAAACAUGGUUGGCCAAUGCUCCGUGGCGCAAACAGGACAAUGGCUCUUAUAAAAGAAAUAAAAACGUAAACUGAUAAUAUCUACGUUCUUUUUUUCUUUUCUUUGUUAAAUUUGUUGUAAUUGAUGUUCAAUUUAAUAAAUGUAA